AGUGAACGCUGGCGGUAGGCCUAACACAUGCAAGUCGAACGGCAGCACAGUAAGAGCUUGCUCUUACGGGUGGCGAGUGGCGGACGGGUGAGGAAUACAUCGGAAUCUACUUUUUCGUGGGGGAUAACGUAGGGAAACUUACGCUAAUACCGCAUACGACCUACGGGUUAAAUCAGGGGUUCUUCGGACCUUUCGCGUUUGUAUUAGCCGAUGUCGGAUUAGCUAGUUGGCGGGGUAAAGGCCCACCAAGGCGACGAUCCGUAGCUGGUCUGAGAGGAUGAUCAGCCACACUGGAACUGAGACACGGUCCAGACUCCUACGGGAGGCAGCAGUGGGGAAUAUUGGACAAUGGGCGCAAGCCUGAUCCAGCCAUACCGCGUGGGUGAAGAAGGCCUUCGGGUUGUAAAGCCCUUUUGUUGGGAAAGAAAAGCAGCAGGUUAAUACCCCGCUGUUCUGACGGUACCCAAAGAAUAAGCACCGGCUAACUUCGUG
RNAcentral lists this ribosomal RNA (492 nucleotides) under uncultured bacterium. RNAcentral describes it as "partial 16S ribosomal RNA". It matches the Rfam family "Bacterial small subunit ribosomal RNA", at positions 29 to 507 of the family's 1533-position model. The record is from RNAcentral.